Ipomoea nil (Japanese morning glory) is the source of this 106-nucleotide long non-coding RNA. RefSeq lists it as uncharacterized. The transcript is spliced from 3 exons. The record is from RefSeq and is a predicted model, not a curated record. NCBI's taxonomy places the organism in Eukaryota, Viridiplantae, Streptophyta, Magnoliopsida, Solanales, Convolvulaceae.
UGCCAUGGUGAAGAUUUGGAUUCAAAUAGGGAGACUCCUUGCUCUUGCCGUGGUACCUUGAAGUACGCACAUAGAGCAUGUGUGCAAAGGUGGUGCAAUGAGAAAG